RNAcentral lists this small nucleolar RNA (127 nucleotides) under Neogobius melanostomus (round goby). The record is from RNAcentral. Lineage: Eukaryota; Metazoa; Chordata; Actinopteri; Gobiiformes; Gobiidae.
CUUCGGUGAUGAUGCGAUGACGAGUCAGACUGGGCCCCACACUCUGAGGGCGGGGUCACGUUCUGUGGCCCCUCCCCUCAGAACGGGUUCCGACACAUGAAGACUCUGAGGCAUUUGUCUGAGGAGG